This 491-nucleotide long non-coding RNA is filed under the name Linum usitatissimum (flax). RNAcentral's name for it is "long non-coding RNA (LUSI_LNC003963)". Lineage: Eukaryota; Viridiplantae; Streptophyta; Magnoliopsida; Malpighiales; Linaceae. The record is from RNAcentral.
GCAGCCUCGGGAAUGGAAUUAGGUUUACGGCCAACUUCCGGAGGUCGGAGUUCAAUUGCCCCGGGAACCGCAGACAGCAGGUAACUCCGCUCAUCGUUGUUGAGAUCAGGUGGUUCAGAUCUCCGACUGUUUGAAUUGAAUCAGUUGAUUCGUUAAUCUCAAUAGUUUGACCGAAAAAUUCAAAAUUGAUGAAUUGAGAUCAGGUGGUUCAGAUCUCAGACUGUUUGAUUUGAAUCAGUUGACUAUUAAGUUUAUCUCAAUCAAGAAAAUUCAAAAUUUAUGAAUGGCAGUUGGAAUGCUGUUGUUUGACUUACAGCUAGGGUUGGUGAGCUUGAGGGUUCUGAAGCAGAUGUCAUAGAGGGCUUCAUUGUCAAGGACCAUACACUCAUCAGCAUUCUCAACAAGCUGAUGCACAGAGAGGGUAGCAUUGUAAGGCUCAACCACAGUGUCAGAGACCUUAGGAGAUGGGAAAACUGAGAAUGUGAGCAUCA